CUUACCACAGUUCCCCUUCCUACCCACAGGCUCCGUGCCUAGGUUGAAAUCCAGUCCAGCGGGAUUCUUGGCCCUUUCUCUGGACGUCUUCCUCUGCUUUCCCCCCUCCCACUCCUGAAGCAGGACGUGAUCUCUCCUUUGUCUCUGCAGCAGGCCCUCUCUUCCCAGAACAGUCUGCAAAUAGAGAUUCUGAUGGAGAGAGGCAACAGUAAAACAGGAUGGGAGAAGACAUAGCCCUUAAUUUCACAGGGCUCUCAUGAAGGAAACUGAGUGGGGACAAGUGUCUUCGGAAGACACGGAGUGGAAUCAUCCUUCAUCCAGAUCCUAAGCUCUGCU
This 336-nucleotide long non-coding RNA is filed under the name Canis lupus familiaris (dog). Its description in RNAcentral is "lncRNA (ENSCAFG00000058848.1)". Lineage: Eukaryota; Metazoa; Chordata; Mammalia; Carnivora; Canidae. The record is from RNAcentral.